Non-coding RNA from Cinara cedri, 206 nucleotides. The record is from the annotation of a GenBank genome assembly. NCBI's taxonomy places the organism in Eukaryota, Metazoa, Arthropoda, Insecta, Hemiptera, Aphididae.
ACCAUGGUUUUGUCCUUCCAAUUAAUCGGGUAGUUAUUAUCCUUGAGGCGCCUACUCCCUUAUAUCAGGCAUCCUGGUCGCCUACCCUGUACAUAAACUAUAGGAUUGUGCUAUGUGCUUUAGCAGCCAAGUGAUUAUUUAAGCCAAAAAAACAAUUCAAGCAAAUUGCUCAAAACUUGCAUCAUUAAAACAUCCUUAUUGUUAUU